Molecule: long non-coding RNA, 1520 nt
Filed under: Homo sapiens (human)
Lineage: Eukaryota; Metazoa; Chordata; Mammalia; Primates; Hominidae
Description: PREDICTED lncRNA (TCONS_00067665)
Source: RNAcentral
ACUGUGAAGUCACAAGAGGCCCUGAGCUCUGUGGGCCCCAGGUGCCCCGGGAAAACUUGGGGGAGAAUGGGCAUCCCACCCCAGCACUUUCUAGGAAGAAGGGCAGCAUUUUGAAGGGCUGGAAGUAGAGGAAGGAGGUUGCGGGUAGAAGACUCCAUACUUUCUGUGACGCCUAUUCCUUAGCUUGUGAUGAAUGUUUUCUCAGUAUCCUAUGCUGAAAACAGGUAGAUACUAAUAUCGAUCUUCAAGGGAGGGCUGUUGAGUAUUGAAUAAGACAAAAACAUGGAAGCAAUCAGCACCAUGCUGGAAUCAAGGCUAUCUGUAAUCACAGGGCUAUUUGAAAAAGAGAAGAAAAGGUGUCUUGAAAUUCAACCAACAUGUUUCAAUUAUUUGCUCCUAAGAACAACAGAAGUUUCAACAUUCUGCCAACAGAGUAACUCCUGGAAGAUUGGCACAGAAGAAGGCACAAGGAAGUCAGUGAUAAAAAUAUUUAAGCAGCUUUGUCUGCCUUAGACCUUCCAACUAAAAGUACAGCAAGUGGAAUGGAAUGCUAAUAUGAGGAUCCAAAUUUUCAGGGAAGGAGGAGAGCCUUUAUAUAACCAAAGAUAUUUUUGGACCAUGAAUUCAGAAAUUCUCGGAGCCACCCAUCAGUGCCUGAGCUUCAGUGAGUCCAUAUCCCAUGUCACCCACGGCAAAGGAGACUCUAAGACUUCUGAAGAGUUUCUUGCUUCUUUCCUGUGGGGCAGUGACUCCACUUCCCAGCAGUAAUGGAAUAUCCUGAAUUAGCUACAUUAAUGUUAGAACCAUUUGGACCUCACCCAGGACUUCAACUACAUUAUGAGUAACUCCUGGACGAUUGGCACAGAAGAAGGCACAAGGCAAAUACCCAUCUCUGUACACCCUGUGCUACUGUGUCAUGUGCUGCUCCAGGCAACUCCAAUGGAUUGGCCACCCUGGCCAAUGUGUUCUAGUAUGUUACGUUUAUGUUCCCCUGCUUUCUACAAUCCUGUUCAAAGAGUUGCUGACUUAACCACAGAGAGGAUUCCAGAACCUGAGACACAGAAUAAACUUGAGCAAUCAUAGUCCAUCCACUUCAUUGUCUCAUCAAAAACCAAAGGUCCAGUGAAGCUCUGGAACUCAACGCUGUAAAGGAGCGAAGGAGCUUCUAUACAGAGCCUGGAUGCCUGUCUCCUUAUCCUACUUCAGUGGACUUGACUGCAAUCCGGAUUAUGCUGUUUUCUAAGCAUUUAAAAUAAAAUAAAAAGUAUAAUAGUGUGAUAAGUUCUUUCACAAAGCAAGCAAUCACAUUUAUGUUUCUACUUACAUUUGGGUUUUCCAAAUAUGUGUGUGUGUGUGUGUGUGUGUGUGUGUGUGUGUAUGUAGACUUUAAACAUGGUGCAUCCAUCAUGUUGCACUAAAUCAAAACCACCAAAUAAUGAUGUAGAACUAAUAAAUCAAAACCAUCAAAUAAUGACAUAGAAAUCCAAUUCUCCCACCUUACACCCAUUAAGAUGGCUACU